GGAUUAGAUACCCGGGUAGUCCAUGCCGUAAACGUUGGGCGCUAGAUGUGGGGACCAUUCCACGGUUUCCGUGUCGCAGCUAACGCAUUAAGCGCCCCGCCUGGGGAGUACGGCCGCAAGGCUAAAACUCAAAGGAAUUGACGGGGGCCCGCACAAGCGGCGGAGCAUGCGGAUUAAUUCGAUGCAACGCGAAGAACCUUACCAAGGCUUGACAUUUACGAGAACGCGGCAGAAAUGUCGAACUCUUUGGACACUCGUAAACAGGUGGUGCAUGGUUGUCGUCAGCUCGUGUCGUGAGAUGUUGGGUUAAGUCCCGCAACGAGCGCAACCCUCGUUCUAUGUUGCCAGCGCGUUAUGGCGGGAACUCAUAGGAGACUGCCGGGGUCAACUCGGA
This 394-nucleotide ribosomal RNA is filed under the name uncultured bacterium. RNAcentral's name for it is "bacterial SSU rRNA". It matches the Rfam family "Bacterial small subunit ribosomal RNA", at positions 775 to 1167 of the family's 1533-position model. The record is from RNAcentral.